Molecule: ribosomal RNA, 391 nt
Filed under: Duttaphrynus melanostictus (Asian common toad)
Lineage: Eukaryota; Metazoa; Chordata; Amphibia; Anura; Bufonidae
Description: partial 12S ribosomal RNA
Rfam family: Bacterial small subunit ribosomal RNA
Source: RNAcentral
GGCUAGCCGUAAACUUUUACUUACACUCAAUCGCCAGGGAACUACGAGCUAAGCUUAAAACCCAAAGGACUUGACGGUACCCCAUAUCCCCCUAGAGGAGCCUGUCCUAUAAUCGAUAACCCACGUUAAACCUCACCAUUUUUAGUUAAUCAGCCUGUAUACCUCCGUCGUCAGCUUACCACGUGAGCGUUAAUUAGUGAGCCUAAUGUUUUUCACCAAUACGUCAGGUCAAGGUGCAGCAAAUGAAAUGGGAAGAGAUGGGCUACACUCUCUAUUUUAAAAAAAACGAAAAACUACCUAUGAAACCUAGUUAGAAGGCGGAUUUAGCAGUAAAAAGGAAUCAGCAUGUCCCUUUUAAUCCGGCACUGGGGUGUGUACACACCGCCCGUCA